GAUGAACGCUAGCGGGAGGCCUAACACAUGCAAGCCGAGCGGUAUUGUUUCUUCGGAAAUGAGAGAGCGGCGUACGGGUGCGUAACACGUGUGCAACCUGCCUUUAUCUGGGGGAUAGCCUUUCGAAAGGAAGAUUAAUACUCCAUAAUAUAUUGAACGGCAUCGUUUAAUAUUGAAAGCUCCGGCGGAUAGAGAUGGGCACGCGCAAGAUUAGCUAGUUGGUGAGGUAACGGCUCACCAAGGCGAUGAUCUUUAGGGGGCCUGAGAGGGUGAUCCCCCACACUGGUACUGAGACACGGACCAGACUCCUACGGGAGGCAGCAGUGAGGAAUAUUGGUCAAUGGGUGCAAGCCUGAACCAGCCAUCCCGCGUGAAGGACGACUGCCCUAUGGGUUGUAAACUUCUUUUGGAUAGGGAUGAACCUACCCUCGAGAGGGUAGCUGAAGGUACUAUACGAAUAAGCACCGGCUAACUCCGUG
RNAcentral lists this ribosomal RNA (479 nucleotides) under uncultured bacterium. Its description in RNAcentral is "partial 16S ribosomal RNA". It matches the Rfam family "Bacterial small subunit ribosomal RNA", at positions 28 to 507 of the family's 1533-position model. The record is from RNAcentral.